GUUAAGUUAGAGUUCCCUUUAUAUAAUGGUGUAGAUUAUCUGUAAUUAUUAGCCAAUUAUCUGCCGAGUUCCAAUUCUAAUUUGCAUCAAAUAACUCUCACUUCCUCUCAACCACACAUUCUUAUUUAUAGGCAACAAACUCAGUUAGCUACAGAUAAGAAACAAUUACAAUUCAAAUAAAAGUGAUGGUUGCUAAAGAUGUUUUUACCAGAAAUACUCCAGGAUGAAGGAGGCGCAUUCCCAUUAUCAUUGUUUGUAGCUUUCUGAGUCUUCUUCUUCUUAUGAUAAUAAUAAUAAUAAUCAUAAUAAUAAUAAUAAUAAUAAUAAUAAUAAUAAUCAUAAUAAUAAUAAUAAUAAUAAUGAUAAUAAUAAUAAUAAUAAUAAUAAUAAUAAUUUAAUGUUUUAUGAUGCCUUAACAUCUAACAUUCUUAUUUUUAAUACUAAUACUGAGAAAACAAUCAAGAAUGAUAUUCUGAGAUGAUAAAAAAAAAAAACUAUGUUCUCUGACGCAUAGACUAACCUUCAGCAGUCCUAAUUCAAGUAUAAAACUCAUUAUCAUUGGUACUGCAGUAAAAACACCAAUCUGCACCAAAAGUUGAGCAUUCAAAGCUGCAUCCAGUGCUGCAUUACCCAUCAGUUUUGCCUUCUCUAAGACAGCUUCAUCAAGACCAGAAAACGCCCGAGAGCAAGAACAUCAUAAAG
RNAcentral lists this long non-coding RNA (702 nucleotides) under Trifolium pratense (red clover). RNAcentral describes it as "long non-coding RNA (TPRA_LNC007815)". The record is from RNAcentral. Lineage: Eukaryota; Viridiplantae; Streptophyta; Magnoliopsida; Fabales; Fabaceae.